AACGAACGCUUGCUGCAUGCUUUAUACAUGCAAGUCGAACGAAGGCCCUAGCUUGCUAGGUGUCCUUAGUGGCGCACGGGUGAGUAACACGUGGGAACAUACCUCAUAGUACGGAAUAACUGCGGGAAACUGUAGCUAAUACCGUAUAUUCCAGAAAUGGGAAAGAUUUAUCGCUAUGAGAUUGGCCCGCGCAAGAUUAGCUUGUUGGUAAGGUAAUGGCUUACCAAGGCUCCGAUCUUUAGCUGGUUUGAGAGGAUGAUCAGCCACACUGGGACUGAGACACGGCCCAGACUCCUACGGGAGGCAGCAGUAGGGAAUAUUGGACAAUGGGGGAAACCCUGAUCCAGCAAUGCAGCGUGAGUGACGAAGGCCUUAGGGUUGUAAAACUCUUUCAUCGGUGAGGAUAAUGACAGUAGCCGAAGAAGAAGGACCGGCUAAUUCCGUGCCGGCAGCCGCGGUAAUACGGAAGGUCCUAGCGUUGUUCGGAAUUACUGGGCGUAAAGCGCAUGUAGGCGGAACAAAAAGUUAGAAGUGAAAUCCCUGGGCUCAACCUAGGAAUGGCUUUUAAAACUUUUGUUCUGGAAUUCAGGAGAGGAAAAUGGAAUUUCCAGUGUAGAGGUGAAAUUCGUAGAUAUUGGAAGGAACACCAGUGGCGAAGGCGAUUUUCUGGACUGAUAUUGACGCUGAGAUGCGAAGGCAUGGGUAGCAAACGGGAUUAGAUACCCCGGUAGUCCAUGCAGUAAACGACGGGUGCUAGUCGUCGGACUUUUGUUCGGUGUCGUAGCUAACGCGUUAAGCACCCCGCCUGGGGAGUACGGUCGCAAGAUUAAAACUCAAAUAAAUUGACGGGGACCCGCACAAGCAGUGGAGCAUGUGGUUUAAUUCGACGCAACGCGAAGAACCUUACCAGCGUUUGACAUGGGAAGUGCCGGUUACAGAAUGGUAACCUUCAGUUCGGCUG
This 961-nucleotide ribosomal RNA is filed under the name uncultured bacterium. RNAcentral describes it as "bacterial SSU rRNA". It matches the Rfam family "Bacterial small subunit ribosomal RNA", at positions 28 to 1025 of the family's 1533-position model. The record is from RNAcentral.